UGAGAUACACAGUGUCUUAUGACAUUCCAGUGGACACAGUGGACAGUGACCUCACGUCUCAUGCCGAUGUCAUCAUUAAGGGAAAUGGAUUUGUUCUAAGCACCCAGGCAGAGGGCCUGUAAACUUCAGCCCUACGAAGAGUACUUAAAUGUGGUUAGACUCGUGCCUGAGAACUUCUGAGAUUUUAAUACCAAAAGGGAGAUCGAUCAUGACCAGCUGAUGACUGUCCUUGCCAACGAGACACAUCUCUUGAUCAGAGCCAACUACAAUUCUGCAAAAAGGGCUCUUUACAAGUGUGUAUUGAGAAGGGAGGAAAAACUUAUAGUGAAGGUUGGAUUCUGUCUCUCUGGACACAGCCAGACCUAAUGCUGUAGGCCUGGCAGUGGCCACUGACGUGGAGUGCUGUGAAUGUCCCCAAGGCUACACAGGGAACUCC
Long non-coding RNA from Cynocephalus volans (Philippine flying lemur), 436 nucleotides. RefSeq lists it as uncharacterized. The record is from RefSeq and is a predicted model, not a curated record. The transcript has 3 exons. Lineage: Eukaryota; Metazoa; Chordata; Mammalia; Dermoptera; Cynocephalidae.